RNAcentral lists this ribosomal RNA (494 nucleotides) under uncultured bacterium. RNAcentral's name for it is "bacterial SSU rRNA". It matches the Rfam family "Bacterial small subunit ribosomal RNA", at positions 12 to 518 of the family's 1533-position model. The record is from RNAcentral.
UUCGAUUCUGGCUCAGGAUGAACGCUGGCGGCGUGCUUAACACAUGCAAGUCGAACGGAGAUAGCGGAGAGCUUGCUUCUGCUAUCUAGUGGCGGACGGGUGAGUAACGCGUGGGUAACCUACCCUGUACAGGGGGAUAGCAGCUGGAAACGGCUGAUAAAACCGCAUAAAACGGCAGUACCGCAUGGUACAACCGUCAAAUAUUCAUAGGUACAGGAUGGGCCCGCGUCUGAUUAGCCAGUUGGUGGGGUAACGGCCUACCAAAGCGACGAUCAGUAGCCGGCCUGAGAGGGUGAACGGCCACAUUGGGACUGAGACACGGCCCAAACUCCUACGGGAGGCAGCAGUGGGGAAUAUUGGACAAUGGGGGAAACCCUGAUCCAGCGACGCCCGCGUGAGUGAAGAAGUAUCUCGGUAUGUAAAGCUCUAUCAGCAGGGAAGAUGAUGACGGUACCUGACUAAGAAGCACCGGCUAAAUACGUGCCAGCCGCUGC